Molecule: ribosomal RNA, 359 nt
Filed under: uncultured microorganism
Description: bacterial SSU rRNA
Rfam family: Bacterial small subunit ribosomal RNA
Source: RNAcentral
GAGUUUGAUCGUGGUCAGGACGAACGCUGGCGGCGUGCUUAACACAUGCAAGUCGAACGAAGCGCCUUAUUUGAUUUUCUUCGGAACUGAAGAUUUGGUGACUGAGUGGCGGACGGGUGAGUAACGCGUGGGUAACCUGCCCUGUACAGGGGAUAACAAUCAGAAAUGACUGCUAAUACCGCAUAAGACCACAGCACCGCAUGGUGCCAGGGGUAAAAACUCCGGUGGUACAGGAUGGACCCGCGUCUGAUUAGCUGGUUGGUGAGGUAACGGCUCACCAAGGCGACGAUCAGUAGCCGGCUUGAGAGAGUGAACGGCCACAUUGGGACUGAGACACGGCCCAAACCUCCUACGGGAGG